This is a long non-coding RNA of Eucalyptus grandis, 788 nucleotides long. RefSeq lists it as uncharacterized. The transcript is spliced from 3 exons. Lineage: Eukaryota; Viridiplantae; Streptophyta; Magnoliopsida; Myrtales; Myrtaceae. The record is from RefSeq and is a predicted model, not a curated record.
UUUCUUUUUCAUAAUUUCUUCGGCUUUUGUGCUUUUCUUUAUAAUUUUUCGUGCGGUUAUCCAUCGAAGGGAUCCAAAAAAGACAAAAGAAGAAAACGAGAAACCAAAAGGGACAAAGCAAUUGGUGGUUAGAAACGCGAAGCCAUGAAGCAACCUCUCUCGUUUUCCGCCAUUCUUUGUAGUAUUCCUUUGUCCGGGCGAAAGUGUUUGCUGCAGAAGUUGUCUGAAUCUUGAAACAAUAGGGAAACUGCUCAUCGACGAGGCCAAAUUCUUGUGGGGCGUGGAGGGCAAGGUCGAGGACCUGCAAAAGGAGCUGAAGCUGAUCCAGUGCUUGCUGGGGGAUGCAGACGCUAGACAAGAGCACGAUCAAGCUGUUGGAGAAUGUCGCACAACUCCGUGACAUUGCCUAUGAUGCCGAGGAUCAUAGAGCGAUACAUCCUCAGAGUCAUGCCGAGGAUGUCAUAGAGCGAUACAUCCUCAGAGUCAUGCUGAAGAAGGGACAAAACAUCAUCAAAGCAUAUGCUUGCUUCGUGGCGAAGUGCACUUGCAUGCAGGUUCAUGUGGUGGGGACAGAAAUUGAGGGCUUAAAAUCCAGGAUCUCGAAUUUGAGAAUUAGUAUGCAGUGUCAUGAAAUACAGUCUGUGAAAAAGGACGAACGCUAUGCCAUUCAAUGUAUUUCCAGUGAUCUUCAACAUAUUGAGGUACAGUUUUUUCUUUUGGUCAAUAUGUUGAGGUACACUUUAUAAUGCAAAGAAACUGAGAUAUGGUCUAUGCGGUUUCCUUUGUCC